AUUUAAAUAGUUUAAUAUUAAAAUAUUGAUUUGUGAUAUCAAAGAUAUAAAAGAUUUUAUUUUAAAUA
Molecule: transfer RNA, 68 nt
Filed under: Onthophagus cuniculus
Lineage: Eukaryota; Metazoa; Arthropoda; Insecta; Coleoptera; Scarabaeidae
Description: tRNA-His
Source: RNAcentral